GGGAGGAUGGCCGAGUGGUUUAAGGCGCUGCCCUUAAGUUUAUUAAGAUAUGCAGUGGUUAUACCUCGUGGGUUCAAAUCCCACUCCUCCCA
Non-coding RNA from Tulasnella sp. 419, 92 nucleotides. NCBI's taxonomy places the organism in Eukaryota, Fungi, Basidiomycota, Agaricomycetes, Cantharellales, Tulasnellaceae. The record is from the annotation of a GenBank genome assembly.